RNAcentral lists this ribosomal RNA (1080 nucleotides) under Lentilactobacillus parabuchneri. RNAcentral describes it as "bacterial SSU rRNA". It matches the Rfam family "Bacterial small subunit ribosomal RNA", at positions 85 to 1151 of the family's 1533-position model. The record is from RNAcentral. Lineage: Bacteria; Bacillati; Bacillota; Bacilli; Lactobacillales; Lactobacillaceae.
AUUGAGACGAGUGGCGAACUGGUGAGUAACACGUGGGUAACCUGCCCUUGAAGUAGGGGAUAACACUUGGAAACAGGUGCUAAUACCGUAUAACAACCAAAACCACCUGGUUUUGGUUUAAAAGAUGGCUUCGGCUAUCACUUUAGGAUGGACCCGCGGCGUAUUAGCUUGUUGGUAAGGUAACGGCCUACCAAGGCAAUGAUACGUAGCCGACCUGAGAGGGUAAUCGGCCACAUUGGGACUGAGACACGGCCCAAACUCCUACGGGAGGCAGCAGUAGGGAAUCUUCCACAAUGGACGAAAGUCUGAUGGAGCAACGCCGCGUGAGUGAUGAAGGGUUUCGGCUCGUAAAACUCUGUUGUUGGAGAAGAACAGGUGUGAGAGUAACUGUUCACAUCUUGACGGUAUCCAACCAGAAAGCCACGGCUAACUACGUGCCAGCAGCCGCGGUAAUACGUAGGUGGCAAGCGUUGUCCGGAUUUAUUGGGCGUAAAGCGAGCGCAGGCGGUUUCUUAGGUCUGAUGUGAAAGCCUUCGGCUUAACCGGAGAAGUGCAUCGGAAACCAGGAGACUUGAGUGCAGAAGAGGACAGUGGAACUCCAUGUGUAGCGGUGAAAUGCGUAGAUAUAUGGAAGAACACCAGUGGCGAAGGCGGCUGUCUGGUCUGUAACUGACGCUGAGGCUCGAAAGCAUGGGUAGCGAACAGGAUUAGAUACCCUGGUAGUCCAUGCCGUAAACGAUGAGUGCUAAGUGUUGGAGGGUUUCCGCCCUUCAGUGCUGCAGCUAACGCAUUAAGCACUCCGCCUGGGGAGUACGACCGCAAGGUUGAAACUCAAAGGAAUUGACGGGGGCCCGCACAAGCGGUGGAGCAUGUGGUUUAAUUCGAUGCUACGCGAAGAACCUUACCAGGUCUUGACAUCUUCUGCCAACCUAAGAGAUUAGGCGUUCCCUUCGGGGACAGAAUGACAGGUGGUGCAUGGUUGUCGUCAGCUCGUGUCGUGAGAUGUUGGGUUAAGUCCCGCAACGAGCGCAACCCUUAUUGUUAGUUGCCAGCAUUCAGUUGGGCACUCUAGCAAGACUG